This 396-nucleotide ribosomal RNA is filed under the name uncultured bacterium. Its description in RNAcentral is "bacterial SSU rRNA". It matches the Rfam family "Bacterial small subunit ribosomal RNA", at positions 521 to 916 of the family's 1533-position model. The record is from RNAcentral.
UAAUACGUAGGGGGCAAGCGUUGUCCGGAAUUAUUGGGCGUAAAGCGCGCGCAGGCGGUCGCUUAAGUCUUCUGUUUAAGCCCCGGGCUCAACCCGGGUACGCAGAGGAAACUGGGCAGCUGGAGUGUAGGAGAGGAAAGUGGAAUUCCACGUGUAGCGGUGAAAUGCGUAGAGAUGUGGAGGAACACCAGUGGCGAAGGCGACUUUCUGGCCUAUAACUGACGCUGAGGCGCGAAAGCGUGGGGAGCAAACAGGAUUAGAUACCCUGGUAGUCCACGCCGUAAACGAUGAGUGCUAGGUGUUAGGGGUUUCGAUACCCUUGGUGCCGAAGUAAACACAGUAAGCACUCCGCCUGGGGAGUACGCUCGCAAGAGUGAAACUUAAAUGAAUUGACGG